AUAUAUAUAUCAACCCUCUUUUGUUGAGUGGUUUGGAUGUGAGGGCUUGCUGGAUUCUUCUUGAAAAAAGUUCAGCUCCCUUAAAAUACAUUAGCAGAACAACCUGUUCAUUGGUGUGAUAACUAUCUACACUACUGAGUGCAAUGGCUAGUUCAGCUUUCUAACAGUCUUUGGACAAAUUCAUCAUUA
This 189-nucleotide unclassified non-coding RNA is filed under the name uncultured Cortinarius. Its description in RNAcentral is "sequence contains ITS2". The record is from RNAcentral. Lineage: Eukaryota; Fungi; Basidiomycota; Agaricomycetes; Agaricales; Cortinariaceae.